RNAcentral lists this ribosomal RNA (424 nucleotides) under uncultured bacterium. Its description in RNAcentral is "partial 16S ribosomal RNA". It matches the Rfam family "Bacterial small subunit ribosomal RNA", at positions 360 to 776 of the family's 1533-position model. The record is from RNAcentral.
AAUUUUGGACAAUGGUGGAAACCCUGAUCCAGCCAUCCCGCGUGUAUGAUGAAGGCCUUCGGGUUGUAAAGUACUUUUGGCAGAGAAGAAAAGGUAUCUCCUAAUACGAGAUACUGCUGACGGUAUCUGCAGAAUAAGCACCGGCUAACUACGUGCCAGCAGCCGCGGUAAUACGUAGGGUGCAAGCGUUAAUCGGGAUUACUGGGCGUAACUCGGUUGUAGGCGGUUCGUAAAGAAAGAUGUGAAAGCCCAGGGCUCAACCUUGGAACUGCAUUUGUAACUGCAGAGCUAGAGUAUGUCAGAGGGAGGUAGAAUUCCACGUGUAGCAGUGAAAUGCGUAGAUACGUGGAGGAAUACCGAUGGCGAAGGCAGCCCCCUGGGAUAAUACUGACGCUCAGACACGAAAGCGUGGGGAGCAAACAGG